GACGAACGCUGGCGGCGUGCUUAACACAUGCAAGUCGAACGGAAAGGCCCUUUCGGGGGUACUCGAGUGGCGAACGGGUGAGUAACACGUGGGUGAUCUGCCCUGCACUUCGGGAUAAGCUUGGGAAACUGGGUCUAAUACCGGAUAGGACUACGCACUGCAUGGUGUGUGGUGGAAAGCUUUUGCGGUGUGGGAUGGGCCCGCGGCCUAUCAGCUUGUUGGUGGGGUGAUGGCCUACCAAGGCGACGACGGGUAGCCGGCCUGAGAGGGUGUCCGGCCACACUGGGACUGAGAUACGGCCCAGACUCCUACGGGAGGCAGCAGUGGGGAAUAUUGCACAAUGGGCGCAAGCCUGAUGCAGCGACGCCGCGUGGGGGAUGACGGCCUUCGGGUUGUAAACCUCUUUCACCAUCGGCGAAGCCCAUGAUUUUUGUUGUGGGUGACGGUAGGUGGAGAAGAAGCACCGGCCAACUACGUGCCAGCCGCCGCCGUAACAC
RNAcentral lists this ribosomal RNA (497 nucleotides) under uncultured bacterium. RNAcentral's name for it is "bacterial SSU rRNA". It matches the Rfam family "Bacterial small subunit ribosomal RNA", at positions 28 to 526 of the family's 1533-position model. The record is from RNAcentral.